Molecule: ribosomal RNA, 478 nt
Filed under: uncultured bacterium
Lineage: Bacteria
Description: partial 16S ribosomal RNA
Rfam family: Bacterial small subunit ribosomal RNA
Source: RNAcentral
GAUGAACGCUGGCGGCGUGCCUAACACAUGCAAGUCGAACGGAGUCCAGCCUUUAAGACCUUCGGGUCAAAGAGGGGAAGACUGAGUGGCGGACGGGUGAGUAACACGUGGGCAACCUGGCUCAUAGAGGGGGAUAACAGAGAGAAAUUUCUGCUAAUACCGCAUAAGCACACACUGCCGCAUGGCAGAGGGUGAAAUGAGAAUCGCUAUGAGAUGGACCCGCGUCUGAUUAGCCAGUUGGCAGGGUAAGAGCCUACCAAAGCGACGAUCAGUAGCCGAUCUGAGAGGAUGAACGGCCACAUUGGGACUGAGACACGGCCCAAACUCCUACGGGAGGCAGCAGUGGGGGAUAUUGCACAAUGGGGGGAACCCUGAUGCAGCGACGCCGCGUGAGUGAAGAAGUAUUUCGGUAUGUAAAGCUCUAUCAGCAGGGAAGAUAAUGACAGUACCUGAAUAAGAAGCCCCGGCUAACUACGUG